RNAcentral lists this ribosomal RNA (649 nucleotides) under uncultured bacterium. RNAcentral describes it as "bacterial SSU rRNA". It matches the Rfam family "Bacterial small subunit ribosomal RNA", at positions 28 to 663 of the family's 1533-position model. The record is from RNAcentral.
GAUGAACGCUAGCUACAGGCUUAACACAUGCAAGUCGAGGAGCAGCAGGGAGAAAGCUUGCUUUCUUUGCUGGCGACCGGCGCACGGGUGAGUAACGCGUAUCCAACCUUCCCCUUAGUAGAGGAUAGCCCUUCCAAUUUCGGAUUAAUACUCUAUGUUCUUCACAUGAGGCAUCGAACGUGAAGCAAAGGCUUGCCGCAAGGGAGGGGGAAGCGUCUGAUUACGCUUAGUCGGUGGGGUAACGGCGCACCCGCGCCAUCGAUGUCUAGGGGUCCUGAGAGGAAGGUCCCCCACACUGGGAACUGGGACGCGGUCCCUACUCCUACGGGAGGCAGCAGUGAGGAUUAUUGGAACAUUGGCCGGAAGGCUGAUCCAGCCAUUGCCGCGUGCGGGAAGACGGCCCUAUGGGGUUGUAACCCGUUUUUGUUGGGGAGCAUUAAGAUCACGUGGGGAUGCGUUGAGAUUCCCCAGCGAUUAGUCUUCGGCUAACUCCCUGGCCCGCAGCCGCGGUAAUACGGGAGGAUGGCAGCGAUUUCGGGAUUUAUUGGGGUUUAAAGGGUGGCGAAGCCGGAUGCUUAAGCGUGAAUGUAGAUAGUGCCCCGGGCAUCUCACACCGCGUGAGCAUACUCGCCUCUCUGUGACGAAUCGU